RNAcentral lists this ribosomal RNA (447 nucleotides) under uncultured bacterium. RNAcentral's name for it is "partial 16S ribosomal RNA". It matches the Rfam family "Bacterial small subunit ribosomal RNA", at positions 331 to 792 of the family's 1533-position model. The record is from RNAcentral.
CCAGACUCCUACGGGAGGCAGCAGUGGGGAAUAUUGGGCAAUGGGCGCAAGCCUGACCCAGCAACGCCGCGUGAAGGAAGAAGGCUUUCGGGUUGUAAACUUCUUUUCUCAGGGACGAAGAAAGUGACGGUACCUGAGGAAUAAGCCACGGCUAACUACGUGCCAGCAGCCGCGGUAAUACGUAGGUGGCAAGCGUUAUCCGGAUUUACUGGGCGUAAAGGGCGUGUAGGCGGGACUGCAAGUCAGAUGUGAAAACCAUGGGCUCAACCUGUGGCCUGCAUUUGAAACUGUAGUUCUUGAGUACUGGAGAGGCAGACGGAAUUCCUAGUGUAGCGGUGAAAUGCGUAGAUAUUAGGAGGAACACCAGUGGCGAAGGCGGCCUGCUGGACGAUGACUGACGUUGAGGCUCGAAAGCGUGGGGAGCAAACAGGAUUAGAUACCCGAGUA